CGUGCGUCGUAGUUGCAAAAUGUCAAAGAAUCAUGUCAAAAAAUUGUCAAAAAGUCAAUAAGUAUCAGAUCUGUGUAUCAGAUUAUAUCAGUAUUUAUAUUAGUUUAAACCGUUAUUUUGUAUUCUUUUCCAAGUGUUUCUCGUAUUUAGUUCCUGUUUAAAACUGAUACUAUAAAAUCCAACUUGAUUUAUACAUGAUCAAUUCCAUAUAAAGGAUAACAGAAACAUUCAAUGGUAGUGUAGAAUACUGUUAUGACAGUUUCAUUGUAAGACUCAAGACAGCUGAUAAAAUGAGUACAAUUAUUGAGCCUCCAAAGUUCGGAAGCAAAGACGAAGAAAUUGAUUAUUGGAGAAAUCUAGCUCAUGAAUAUAUGCAAGAAAUUGAUAGAGUUCAGAAAGAUGCAGACGAAUUUAUGGUCGAGUCAAAACAGCUUGAGAAAGAAUAUGAAAUGACAAUAGAUCAGAAUGAAAAGAAAAUUAAAGAACUGAGUAUAUCAAACAAUCGAACACAAAAUGAAAUUGAUGCUUUAAGGGUUAAGCUUGAAAUAUGUUAUAAAGAAACAACUAAUCAACAAACUGAAAUAGAAUCACUAAAGGCAGAAAAGAAACAGCUGUUAACAAAAAUUCGAGAUUUAGAACAAUUAAAUGAUGAUUUGGAAAGAUCUAGGAGAAUAGUUGAAGAAAGUAUUGCUGGUUUCGAACAGGCACUUAAUUCAGCCCUAGAAAAAAAUGCUAUUUUAGAAAGUGAAGUUGAUGAAAAAGAAAACUUGAAAGAAAAAUUACAAAGACUUGCUGAUGAAACAAGAGAUCUUCAGCAAGAAUUACUUGUAAAAGAAAAGGAACGAGCACCAGACAACGAACGAUUCUUAAAUGGAUUCAUUGAUAAUAGACUCAAAGAGAAUGAGACCCAAACAUCACCAUCAAAACGAGAGUACCAGCCACCUCUUUCGCCGGCUUCAAGAGUAAUGGCUAUAAAUAUCGUCAGUGAUUUAAUUAGAAAAGUAGGGCUGACCCGGUUCCUUUGUUCAAAUUGUGGUCAAAUUAAAUGUACCAUGUGCAAACCGGACCGUACGCGGCUUAAUAGGAAUAGUUGCAAUUUGUAGUGUUUGGUAUGGUUUGGGUGAAUAGGUUUAGAACGUCGUUUAGAUUUUAGGGAUCUCCAAACUAGUGAACUGAGGAGAUCGAGACACUCUUCCGUGAAUGGUUCAGCUACCAGUAUGAAUGGCAUAUCCAAAUAGGAUCGACUAACCUUUACUUAUUAAAAUGAAUUAAACUCAGCUACUAGUCCAGCUUGGUGUAAAACUUAAAAAAAAUAGAUAUAUAUUUCGGCGUCCUUUGGUGUAUAAAUAAUCAUGUAAAAAAUAUUUAGAUACUUAAAAACAAGCAGUAUUAUACAAUCGAUAUUAUUUCCAUGAUAAUAACAAUGGACUGAACACUUUGUGAUUGAAUUUAAGAAUAUUUGUAGUCCAUGUAUGUAUUCGUUGCAACCAACAACUAAUAUUUUAACCAUUAGUUAUAUUUUAUUUAAAAGGCCGUAAUAGUCUAAGAGCUAGCAACGUUUUCGAGAAAGUAUUUUAAGACGUCUGGCUCUUUGAUAUAUCUUCUACUAUGCUCU
RNAcentral lists this unclassified non-coding RNA (1615 nucleotides) under Sitophilus oryzae (rice weevil). RNAcentral's name for it is "nuclear distribution protein nudE-like 1-A, transcript variant X3". The record is from RNAcentral. Lineage: Eukaryota; Metazoa; Arthropoda; Insecta; Coleoptera; Curculionidae.